GUGGUAGGUCUGCAAAGUUGCAUGGUUUUGUGCACCGACGGCGUGGAGACGUGAGCCUUUGAGUCACUAGUUCUUUGCACCGGGUGCAUGAAGAAGGAGAGGGACAACACUGUAGUGGUGCUGGCUAUGGGAGGCUAACAGAUAGGAUCGAUAGAUAGGGCCUUAGUGGAAUAUGGAGCAAGUGACUGAUAGAUAGGGACAAGGGUCCGACAUGGUUCUGUGUUAUGGACUCAUGUUGUAGGCCGGUGGACCGGCUCGGGUUGUGUCUUCAAUCCAAUGGACUAUGUGCAGGGAGGAGAUGAGGUGCAUCGUCGGUGCUGGGGGAUAGAACAAAGCAGAUGGUUGGGGCUUGCUGGCCCUUUCUGGUCAUUGGUGACAAUGAGAUCAGGUUGAUGGGAGAGAGAAUGGUGCAGCGGCGAUAGUGAAAGUAUUGAUGAUCGUCAUCUUAGAAAAUACGACCUCCAACUAUGCAUAGAAAAUGACUCAUUGAGAUAAAUCAUUUUGCUGUAGGGAUUUAAACUAAUGAGUACCACAAGUUUUGUGUCCGAGCAUGUUGUGCAAGGAAUAUAGGUAAGUUGGUGCACAAAUGCCAUAAUGGUAGAGGAGCAAAGAUUGCACCUAAGUCAAAAGGAUCAAUGGUGCACAAUGUUUGGAGUUUCGGUCGAAGUUCACCAAAUCCAGCGAAUUUUAGUUCUACUAGGCUGAGGAGUGCCAGUAGAUAGCUCGCUAGAGCUUAGGGCAAGAAGGGCAAAAAUGAGGCCUUGAUGUGAAAGGUUUUUGGUUGGGUUUAGGGGCAAGGAAAAGGUGUGGUGGGUGUUGCAGACCUUUCCAUGGUCCACAUGGAGGUGGAAGCUCACUGGCAGCAGAUGAUCGUGGAUGAAUCAGUUAGGAUGUAAAGAUGAAACAGGGGUGGCUUGGUUGGGUGAGGGUUGAGGGGAUUCAAGGCUCGGGGGAAUGGUUGGAUACUCAAGGGCUCAUCCAUGAUCAUGAUUCGGCUAGGGUCUCGCUAGUGGCAGUUGUUGUCGGUAACAAUAGGUGUUGAGCUUGAGUGGCUUAAUGUGGAAUCAGAGGUGUAACACCCCGAUUUUUAGCGCAUUUUAAAAUGUACUAAAAUUUUGACCCCUUUUCAAAUUUUCAAUCAAAACCAAUUCAUUUUUAUUUACUAGCUAGCUAGGUUAGUUAAACAUUUUCUAAAACAAAACCUUGAAUUUAAAACCUUAUUUUUGUUGCAUGGCCUGUGUGCGACUCUAAAAUCCUAGAAUCCCUAUCCAGCUCAAACUUAAAUAGGAUCAAGUUUCACAUGAAUCAAAUUUUUCAACCAAAUGCCAAACCCCUUUAAACCUUCCAUGGGCCAAAAUCUAGAAGGCCCAUAGGAUCCUUCACCACCUUCCCUCCUUCUUUCCUUACUUUUGGAUCAGCCCAACACAACCACCAGGCCACCUCCUCUCCC
Molecule: long non-coding RNA, 1450 nt
Filed under: Setaria viridis
Lineage: Eukaryota; Viridiplantae; Streptophyta; Magnoliopsida; Poales; Poaceae
Description: long non-coding RNA (SVIR_LNC007408)
Source: RNAcentral